This is a non-coding RNA of Cinara cedri, 219 nucleotides long. The record is from the annotation of a GenBank genome assembly. Lineage: Eukaryota; Metazoa; Arthropoda; Insecta; Hemiptera; Aphididae.
CUGUGUUUCAACGGUACUAUUAUUUAAUGACAUUCGUUCCAUUCGCAAUAAAAUUAAUGUUUUUGAGGUUCAAAAAUUAUUGGAAUAUUAUAAAACAUCUCUAGUAUCGCAGUUCACAACUUGCCUUUUUUACUCUUCUAAUUAAGAUUAUCCGAUCUAAUAUUCAAACUUUAGAAGUUUAGAUCGUUAAUAUUGUGAAUACUCUUAGCAAAGAUGUUU